This 425-nucleotide ribosomal RNA is filed under the name uncultured bacterium. RNAcentral describes it as "bacterial SSU rRNA". It matches the Rfam family "Bacterial small subunit ribosomal RNA", at positions 354 to 796 of the family's 1533-position model. The record is from RNAcentral.
GUGGGGAAUAUUGGACAAUGGGCGCAAGCCUGAUCCAGCCAUGCCGCGUGAGUGAUGAAGGCCCUAGGGUUGUAAAGCUUUUUCACCGGAGAAGAUAAUGACGGUAUCCGGAGAAGAAGCCCCGGCUAACUUCGUGCCAGCAGCCGCGGUAAUACGAAGGGGGCUAGCGUUGUUCGGAAUUACUGGGCGUAAAGCGCACGUAGGCGGACAUUUAAGUCAGGGGUGAAAGCCCGGGGCUCAACCCCGGAACUGCCUUUGAUACAUGGUGUCUGGAGUAUGGAAGAGGUAAGUGGAAGUCCGAGUGUAGAGGUGAAAUUCGUAGAUAUUCGGAGGAACACCAGGGGCGAAGGCGGCUUACUGGUCCAUUACUGACGCUGAGUUGCGAAAGCGUGGGGAGCAAACAGGAUUAGAUACCCCGGUAGUCC